GACGAACGCUGGCGGCGUGCUUAACACAUGCAAGUCGAACGGAAAGGCCCUGCUUUUGUCGGGUUCUCGAGUGGCGAAGGUGUGAGUAACACGUGAGUAACCUUGCCUUGGCGUUGGGAUAACUUCAGGAAACUGGUGCUAAUACCUGAUAGGAGCUCGUGCUGCAGGGUGGUGGUUGGAAAGUUUCGUCUGUGGGGGGUGGAUGCCCGGCUUAUCAGCUUGUUGGUUGGGUAGUUGCUUAUCAAGGCUUUGGAGGAUCGCCGGCAUGAGAGGGUGGCCGCGCACAUUGCGCCUGCGAUACGGACCAGACGCGUACGGGAGGCAGCAGUGGGGAAUAUUACCCAAUGAGCGGACGCGUGAUGAAGAAACGCUGCGUGUGGGAUGAAGGUCUUCGGGUUGUAAACCGCUUUCGCCUGUGACGAAGCGUGAGUGACGGUACCGGGUAAAGAAGCACCGGCUAACUACGUG
RNAcentral lists this ribosomal RNA (468 nucleotides) under uncultured bacterium. RNAcentral's name for it is "partial 16S ribosomal RNA". It matches the Rfam family "Bacterial small subunit ribosomal RNA", at positions 28 to 507 of the family's 1533-position model. The record is from RNAcentral.